UCUCGGGGUUACAGCCUUGCUGAAUUAUUCACCCUUGUCUUUUGCGUACUUCUUGUUUCCUUGGUGGGUUCGCCCACCACUAGGACAAACAUAAACCUUUUGUAAUUGCAAUCAGCGUCAGUAACAAAUUAAUAAUUACAACUUUCAACAACGGAUCUCUUGGUUCUGGCAUCGAUGAAGAACGCAGCGAAAUGCGAUAAGUAGUGUGAAUUGCAGAAUUCAGUGAAUCAUCGAAUCUUUGAACGCACAUUGCGCCCUUUGGUAUUCCAAAGGGCAUGCCUGUUCGAGCGUCAUUUGUACCCUCAAGCUUUGCUUGGUGUUGGGCGUCUUGUCUCUAGCUUUGCUGGAGACUCGCCUUAAAGUAAUUGGCAGCCGGCCUACUGGUUUCGGAGCGCAGCACAAGUCGCACUCUCUAUCAGCAAAGGUCUAGCAUCCAUUAAGCCUUUUUUUCAACUUUUGACCUCGGAUCAGGUAGGGAUACCCGCUGAACUUAAGCAUAUCAAUAAGCGGAGGAAA
This 516-nucleotide ribosomal RNA is filed under the name Alternaria arborescens. RNAcentral describes it as "eukaryotic LSU rRNA". The stretch from base 140 to 293 matches the Rfam family "5.8S ribosomal RNA". Lineage: Eukaryota; Fungi; Ascomycota; Dothideomycetes; Pleosporales; Pleosporaceae. RNAcentral also lists the same sequence under 1 other name. The record is from RNAcentral.